This 116-nucleotide ribosomal RNA is filed under the name Epibryon minutissimum. Its description in RNAcentral is "Cladophialophora minutissima partial 18S ribosomal RNA". It matches the Rfam family "Eukaryotic small subunit ribosomal RNA", at positions 1688 to 1801 of the family's 1831-position model. The record is from RNAcentral. Lineage: Eukaryota; Fungi; Ascomycota; Eurotiomycetes; Chaetothyriales; Epibryaceae.
AUUGAAUGGCUCAGUGAGGCCUUGGGACUGGCUCAGGAAGGUCGGCAACGACCAUCCAGAGCCGGAAACUUGGUCAAACUUGGUCAUUUAGAGGAAGUAAAAGUCGUAACAAGGUU